Non-coding RNA from Helianthus annuus (common sunflower), 106 nucleotides. The record is from Rfam. NCBI's taxonomy places the organism in Eukaryota, Viridiplantae, Streptophyta, Magnoliopsida, Asterales, Asteraceae.
AUGCCAUGAUGUGGGCAUUUUCUGAGCAAAUCCUUAAACCGUGUGAAAGCCUCAUGGAAUGUUUCCCCUAAAUGUUGUUGGAAUGCUCUGAUUAAUUCCCAAGCUU